CUUACUGGAGGUCCGAACCCACGCACGUUGAAAAGUGCGGGGAUGAGGUGUGGGUAGCGGAGAAAUUCCAAUCGAACUUGGAGAUAGCUGGUUCUCUCCGAAAUAGCUUUAGGGCUAGCCUCGAGGUAAAGAGUCAUGGAGGUAGAGCACUGUUUGGACUAGGGGCCCUUCUCGGGUUACCGAAUUCAGAUAAACUCCGAAUGCCAUGUACUUAUACUCGGGAGUCAGACUGCGAGUGAUAAGAUCCGUAGUCGAAAGGGAAACAGCCCAGACCACCAGUUAAGGUCCCCAAAUAUAUGUUAAGUGGAAAAGGAUGUGGGGUUGCUUAGACAACCAGGAUGUUGGCUUAGAAGCAGCCACCAUUGAAAGAGUGCGUAAUAGCUCACUGGUCGAGUGACCCCGCGCCGAAAAUGUACCGGGGCUAAACAUAUUACCGAAACUGUGGAUGAACCUCUUUAGAGGUUCGUGGUAGGAGAGCGUUCUAAGGGCGGUGAAGUCAGACCGGAAGGACUGGUGGAGCGCUUAGAAGUGAGAAUGCCGGUAUGAGUAGCGAAAGAAGGGUGAGAAUCCCUUCCACCGAAUAUCUAAGGUUUCCUGAGGAAGGCUCGUCCGCUCAGGGUUAGUCGGGACCUAAGCCGAGGCCGAUAGGCGUAGGCGAUGGACAACAGGUAGAGAUUCCUGUACCAGUGCUAAUUGUUUAACCGAUGGGGUGACACAGAAGGAUAGGGAAUCGCACGAAUGGAAAUGUGCGUCCAAGCAGUGAGUGUGAG
RNAcentral lists this ribosomal RNA (770 nucleotides) under Listeria monocytogenes. RNAcentral describes it as "partial 23S ribosomal RNA". It matches the Rfam family "Bacterial large subunit ribosomal RNA", at positions 762 to 1529 of the family's 2925-position model. The record is from RNAcentral. Lineage: Bacteria; Bacillati; Bacillota; Bacilli; Caryophanales; Listeriaceae.